RNAcentral lists this ribosomal RNA (253 nucleotides) under uncultured prokaryote. RNAcentral describes it as "partial 16S ribosomal RNA". It matches the Rfam family "Bacterial small subunit ribosomal RNA", at positions 524 to 776 of the family's 1533-position model. The record is from RNAcentral.
UACGUAGGUGGCAAGCGUUGUCCGGAUUUAUUGGGUUUAAAGGGUGCGUAGGCGGCCCUGUAAGUCAGUGGUGAAAUACGGCAGCUCAACUGUCGAGGUGCCAUUGAUACUGCAGGGCUUGAGUACAGACGAGGUAGGCGGAAUUGACGGUGUAGCGGUGAAAUGCUUAGAUAUGACAUAGAACACCCAUUGCGAAGGCAGCUUACUACACGAUCAUUGACGCUGAGGCACGAAAGCGUGGGGAGCAAACAGG